Molecule: long non-coding RNA, 1172 nt
Organism: Acanthopagrus latus (yellowfin seabream)
Lineage: Eukaryota; Metazoa; Chordata; Actinopteri; Spariformes; Sparidae
Exons: 4
Source: RefSeq, a predicted model, not a curated record
UGGUAACCGUAAAACGCUGGUAGACUUAAUACAUGUUCAUUCUUGGCUGACGCACCAGGCUGUUAUCUGUGGACUGUCCUCUGAAAAUAACAAUGGAGGAAAAAAACAUGAUGAAAUCCUACACUGCAGCUGUUCCUCGCUUUGUUCUGGAGGGCCUGAGUGUGGAUAAGAGAUGAGAGAGAUGCAGGCCGGCGGAAUAAAAAGAAGGAGAACCGAGGGAGGAAAUGAGGGUGUGAAAGGGGAGGGGACUGAUGAGAUUAUCAAGCAGGAUGGAGGAAUCUACGAUGUUGAUUCAGUGCACAAAUCAAUUAGAUUCCUGCGAAUUCCUAAAUAGUCGAAUGAUCAGAGAAAUCGCUGCAGAAAGUUUUAACAACUUUCCGACUCGCUCACAAUGGCUGAUUUUCUGUCCGGCAGAUGAUUGUGACCAAAACUAAACCUUUUUUUUUUCUUCUUCUUCACUUUUCGACUAAAACCCAAAACAAACACUUCAAUAUUUACAUCCCUGAAAAAUGUACAUGAAUACACAAGAAUUAUAGUCUUCUGUCUGGCUCACAGAUAGUGUAAAAGGGGUGAGGAUGAUGAGUUAGCCCAAAGCCCAAGAAGUUCACCAUGACUUGAGCCCAUAUAAAGUUUAAAGUGUACUCUAUCUAUCCACUGACAUAAAUCUUUACCUACUGCAACACCCAGAAUACAACAGUUGAUUGAGGGCUGGUUGGUUGUUGUAUGUCCAGCACAUUUGGAAAUGAGACAUGACGCCCUGAGGAGAAGGAGAGACACAGAUAUAGUGUAGCAUGUCCAGGACUCAGUCCAGAGGCUGGCAGAGGCCUGUCUGCCCCUGCAGCCGCUCAAAGUGCUGUCCAAAAGCACUGACUCUGCCCCCCAGAGCAAUAAACAGCUAAAAUGAGGAGACAGAAGUCCCAUGUCAGACGUCAGGAUUUCUCUUAAGAUGCUAGUUUACCUGCAGAGACUACAGAGACAGUUUUCACAAAAUGUUGCCCUUUGAUUUGCACUUUAAAAUUGAAGUGGUACAAGUUCAGUAGUAUUACAGUGGUCUGUGUAUUUUACAAUCGCUCCAGGUAAUUUGUCUGUAUGUUAUGCCCAGUGGCCUAAUGCUGUUAAUAUGAAGUCCCCUUUCUUCUCUCUUCCCCAAACUAUAAAUAGAAAACCAACAA